AUACGUAGGGUGCGAGCGUUAAUCGGAAUUACUGGGCGUAAAGCGUGCGCAGGCGGUUUUGUAAGACAGUGGUGAAAUCCCCGGGCUCAACCUGGGGACUGCCAUUGUGACUGCAAGGCUGGAGUGCGGCAGAGGGGGAUGGAAUUCCGCGUGUAGCAGUGAAAUGCGUAGAUAUGCGGAGGAAUACCGAUGGCGAAGGCAAUCCCCUGGGCCUGCACUGACGCUCAUGCACGAAAGCGUGGGGAGCAAACAGGAUUAGAUACCCUGGUAGUCCACGCCCUAAACGAUGUCAACUGGUUGUUGGGGAUUUAUUUUCUCAGUAACGAAGCUAACGCGUGAAGUUGACCGCCUGGGGAGUACGGCCGCAAGGUUAAAACUCAAAUGAAUUGACGGGG
This 395-nucleotide ribosomal RNA is filed under the name uncultured bacterium. Its description in RNAcentral is "partial 16S ribosomal RNA". It matches the Rfam family "Bacterial small subunit ribosomal RNA", at positions 523 to 918 of the family's 1533-position model. The record is from RNAcentral.